This is a long non-coding RNA of Cavia porcellus (domestic guinea pig), 360 nucleotides long. RefSeq lists it as uncharacterized. The transcript has 3 exons. The record is from RefSeq and is a predicted model, not a curated record. NCBI's taxonomy places the organism in Eukaryota, Metazoa, Chordata, Mammalia, Rodentia, Caviidae.
GUCAGCUCCCUAUCCAGAGCCCAGGAGACUGUGUUAAGAACUGAUAGAAGGGGUCCUGUGAGUUGUUUAUGUAAUACUGAUCUAAUAAGGAAGUAAGUCAUGUAAUGAGCAGACAUGGAAAGACCAGAGAACUUUUAGGGCACCACUAUGCAGUUCAGGCUGGUCUUGAGCUCACUUUGUAACCCAGAUUGGUCUCAAACUAACAAUGAUCCUCCUGCCUCAGCCUCCCAAGUGCUGGGAUUACAGCAUCACCUCCAAAUAAGUACAGACAAUGGGUUUAAGUAAAAAUUACAAAAUCACCAGCAGAGUUUGAAGGGAUGAAGGAUCGCCUUGGUUGGAAUCCUAGAGAUACAGAGGUAA